CCUACGGGUGGCAGCAGUGAGGAAUAUUGGUCAAUGGACGAGAGUCUGAACCAGCCAAGUAGCGUGAAGGAUGACUGCCCUAUGGGUUGUAAACUUCUUUUAUAAAGGAAUAAAACGAGGCACGUGUGCCUUUUUGCAUGUACUUUAUGAAUAAGGAUCGGCUAACUCCGUGCCAGCAGCCGCGGUAAUACGGAGGAUCCGAGCGUUAUCCGGAUUUAUUGGGUUUAAAGGGAGCGUAGAUGGGUUGUUAAGUCAGUGGUGAAAGUUUGCGGCUCAACCGUAAAAUUGCAAUUGAUACUGGCAGUCUAGAGUACAGUUGAGGUAGGCGGAAUGCGUGGUGUAGCGGUGAAAUGCUUAGAUAUCUCGAAGAACCCCGAUUGCGAAGGCAGCUUACUAAACUGUGACUGACAUUGAUGCUCGAAAGUGUGGGUAUCAAACAGGAUUAGAUACCCUGGUAGUC
This 460-nucleotide ribosomal RNA is filed under the name uncultured bacterium. RNAcentral's name for it is "partial 16S ribosomal RNA". It matches the Rfam family "Bacterial small subunit ribosomal RNA", at positions 338 to 795 of the family's 1533-position model. The record is from RNAcentral.